Mustela erminea (ermine) is the source of this 407-nucleotide long non-coding RNA. RefSeq lists it as uncharacterized. The record is from RefSeq and is a predicted model, not a curated record. Lineage: Eukaryota; Metazoa; Chordata; Mammalia; Carnivora; Mustelidae. The transcript has 3 exons.
CCAGGGAGUGUCAACACUGUGUGCUGUUUAGAGACUUUCCUGGAAGUUUUCUGAUCUUGUUUCACCCACUCCUGACUAUAUACUCUCACAUGUAUCCAGCUGGGUCAAACCCUCUCAUGGAAUACCUGGAAAUUUCCACCAAAUGCCUCCAAAAACAUAAGGAACCAUUCCCUGUAAGAAUGCUGGAUGCUUCCACCUGUCGGAGCCCCUGAAGAAAGUCCCCUGAAAAUGCAGCCAGCACAGCAGAAGCCAGAACCAAAAGAAAUGAAGAGAAGAAGACUGGACUGGACAGCAUUUUUUUAAACCUGUCCUUGCACGUGAAGCCAGAACUUUUAAUUUACAACAAUGUGAUCAUUGGAGAAGAAGCUGAAAUAACAGAGGGCACCUGCUGUUACACAAUGGAUUGC